CCUACGGGUGGCAGCAGUGGGGGAUAUUGCACAAUGGGGGAAACCCUGAUGCAGCGACGCCGCGUGAGUGAAGAAGUAUUUCGGUAUGUAAAGCUCUAUCAGCAGGGAAGAAAAAAGACGGUACCUGACUAAGAAGCCCCGGCUAACUACGUGCCAGCAGCCGCGGUAAUACGUAGGGGGCAAGCGUUAUCCGGAUUUACUGGGUGUAAAGGGAGCGUAGACGGCAAUACAAGUCGGAAGUGAAAUACCCGGGCUUAACCUGGGAACUGCUUUGGAAACUGUAUGGCUGGAGUGCUGGAGAGGUAAGCGGAAUUCCUAGUGUAGCGGUGAAAUGCGUAGAUAUUAGGAGGAACACCAGUGGCGAAGGCGGCUUACUGGACAGUAACUGACGUUGAGGCUCGAAAGCGUGGGGAGCAAACAGGAUUAGAUAC
RNAcentral lists this ribosomal RNA (431 nucleotides) under uncultured bacterium. Its description in RNAcentral is "bacterial SSU rRNA". It matches the Rfam family "Bacterial small subunit ribosomal RNA", at positions 338 to 785 of the family's 1533-position model. The record is from RNAcentral.